Molecule: small nuclear RNA, 107 nt
Organism: Choloepus hoffmanni (Hoffmann's two-fingered sloth)
Lineage: Eukaryota; Metazoa; Chordata; Mammalia; Pilosa; Megalonychidae
Source: Ensembl
GUGCUUGCUUCGGCAGCACAUACACAAAAAUUGGAACAAUACAUAGAAGAUUAGCAUGGCCCCUGUGCAAGGAAGGCACACAGAUUCAUGAAGUGUUCCAUAUUUUU